Molecule: long non-coding RNA, 2532 nt
Organism: Xiphophorus hellerii (green swordtail)
Lineage: Eukaryota; Metazoa; Chordata; Actinopteri; Cyprinodontiformes; Poeciliidae
Exons: 2
Source: RefSeq, a predicted model, not a curated record
UGAUACCGUUUACGACCGUUCUUCGAACUCAGUAGACAUGCAGUCCCACCAGGUGUUUGAUAAUUGCUGCCGGAUUGAAACUCCAAGGCGGAGCUUUGUAAGAGCAAGCGUUUAGGCACCCCCGAAUGGUUGAUAUUUGGGGAUUCAAGGAUUUCUCAAGAAUGCAUGAAAGAAUCAAAGCAACGCUCCAGAUAAGACUGCAGCUGUGGCACGAUGAGAGGAGAAUCUGUCUGACAUGAUGCACAGAGAAAGAAACAAAAGCUGGAGAAAGCAGAGCAGCUGAAUGUGCACCAGUAAUUUCAGAUCUUCCUAAUGGACACUUCAUUCAAAUCUUUUCACAUUUUGUGACACUACAACCAUACAUUUCAAGAAUCAAAUAAGCCCUCAGAGUUGUUUUUCUUUUGCAAAUCUCCCUUCAUAUCUGGGUCAGAAGACACUGACAGAGCACUCUAAAGCAGUGUUUCUCAAUUCCAGUCCUCAUGCCCCCCCUGCCCUGCAUGUUAUAGGUGUUUCCCUUCUGCCGCACACCUGAAUUGAAGCUGUGAGUGAUUAACAGGCUUCUGCAGCACUUGAUGGUCAUGCAAUCAUUUGAAUCAGCUGUUCUGGAAUAAAGGCACAUCUAAAACAUGCAGAGCAGGGGGGCCUGGGGACUGGAAUUGAGAAGCACUGGUCCUAAUGAGAAUCAUCCAAACAUCAUUAGAGCAGCCUGAUCCAUGUGACCCAGCAGAAGAUACUUCACAUGCACAACUUCUUGGAAAGAGACGCAAAAGGCGGAGAUUGUGUGGAAGAGGUGGGUUGGAAAAUGAGAGACAGAUGAGAAAAGGGCCAACACUGAUUGACCAAUCAGGUUCCAGAAAGCUGAUCGGCGACUGUAUAUUUAAACUGAUCACCCAUGAGAAUAAUUAGAAAAGAAAAAGGUUUUUGGCUUCCAUCGCUGCAGCUCUGUGCGUCUUUGUUUAUGCGGCUCCUCAUGGUUGGACAACCUCGUUCUCAAGCUUGAAAUAAACUCCAGCAAAGCCGCUCUGAGUACUUCCACAGAGCGGUUUUUAGCGGUUUUCGUAAUAACAGUUUCUCCCCAUGUUAAUUUUUCCUCUCACCACCAACCAGAUGCUAAUGGCCUGAGCCUGAUUGGCUAUUAUCUCCCUGGUUUUCACGGCUUAUGUGAGAGGAGUCUCUGAGAGCUACAGACAAGACAGCAGCAAAAAGCCAGAGAUGCUGCUGCUACAUUCCUGCUUAAUUACCACAUGCAGCCAUGUUGGAAAACAGCAGACAUGCAGCGGUAGGAGCAUGCACACACCAACAUAAAUAAAUGUUAUUGGCAGCUCUGCGAAGCUUACUUAGUCACAUCCUGCUCACUGUGACUGUUUUGAUGCUCUUUACUGGAAUAUAAAUGUGUCGUAACACUGCAAUGAAUCAGGACUUUAGAAAAUGCCUUAAUGCCAAAAUUGAAGAUUGCUUAUUGCCCAGGAGUAAAAGUAUAAAGGAACAAACAUGUUGAAUUGUUAGUGUUGAGGACCCACCAGAGCCACGUGGAGAACAAGAGCUGAACUGCCCACAGAGAAAAAAGUUGUAGAAACUCUGAAUCCCAGAAUACACAGCAUUCUUCCCUUUUCAUAAUGUACUCCUUAUAAGGAGGAGUUCUCCCUCAACUCUGGAGUUUUAUGUAGCAGCAGGUAAUAAAAGUUAAGUCAAGAAUGAUUUAAAAUUUUCAAAAACACUCAUUGUGAUUAUUAUUUGUGGUCUGAUUAAACUAAAGUAGAACUAUUUGGGUGUAAGACCAUUGUUACAUUUGAAGAAAAAAGAGAGCUGUUUCCACCAUCCAAACUAUGAAGUAUGGGAGUGGCAGCAUUAUGAACUAGUACACUUCAUAAAUGAGAUGCCACCAUGAUGAAAUAACCUUAUGUUAAAAUAUUGAAGCAACAUCUCAAUACACCAGCCAGGAAAUAAAAGCUUGGGCACAGAUUGGUCUUCCAAACAGACAUUAACCCUAAGCAUACAGCCAAAGCUGCCACAAAGAGGCUUCAUGACAAAAAAGUCAGUCUACUGACUAAAAUCCUGACCUCCUGUCCUGAGAAGUUGUGGGAAGACUUGAAAUCUGAGGUGGCCUACAAAAUGGGCUCAGUUCCACCAGUUCUGUCAGGCCUGAGCCAGAACUCCAGCAAACUAUUGUGAGAAGGUUGUGAAAGGAAACCUAAAAGGUUUGACCCAAGUCAUACAGCUUAAAAGAUCCCGAGACUGACCAAAUGUAUGUAAACUUUUGCAUAUGAGGAAAGUUGCCAAAAAAGCUCUAAAAGAUUUCUCCUUAAGUUUUCUGGCAUUUAAGCAAAUGGAAGAAAUUAUUUGGGUAAUUGUAACUAAGCUAGAAUUACCCAAAUGUUGGUCCACUAACAUCUGGGUAAGAAAAAGAUGAUCAGAUUUAACUUAAGACAGUGAGAAAGAAAAUGUGUUUGUGUUUUUGCAUUCAGUUUAUGUAAAUAUCUGGUUUUAAUUGAAGUAUUUGAAUAAUAAAGAAUUCAGACUUAAACCAUCAAA